RNAcentral lists this ribosomal RNA (389 nucleotides) under Hyphodontia sp. RNAcentral describes it as "partial small subunit ribosomal RNA". It matches the Rfam family "Eukaryotic small subunit ribosomal RNA", at positions 582 to 975 of the family's 1831-position model. Lineage: Eukaryota; Fungi; Basidiomycota; Agaricomycetes; Hymenochaetales; Schizoporaceae. The record is from RNAcentral.
AUUCCAGCUCCAAUAGCGUAUAUUAAAGUUGUUGCAGUUAAAAAGCUCGUAGUUGAACUUCAGACCUGGCCGGGCGGUCCGCCUUCUGGCGUGUUACUGUCUGGCCGGGCCUUACCUCUUGGUGAGCCUGCAUGCCCUUUACUGGACGUGUAGGAGAACCAGGACCUUUACCUUGAGAAAAUUAGAGUGUUCAAAGCAGGCAUACGCCCGAAUACAUUAGCAUGGAAUAAUAAAAUAGGACGUGCGGUUCUAUUUUGUUGGUUUCUAGAGUCGCCGUAAUGAUUAAUAGGGAUAGUUGGGGGCAUUAGUAUUCAGUUGCUAGAGGUGAAAUUCUUGGAUUUACUGAAGACUAACUACUGCGAAAGCAUUUGCCAAGGAUGUUUUCAUCA